Molecule: long non-coding RNA, 845 nt
Organism: Papaver somniferum (opium poppy)
Lineage: Eukaryota; Viridiplantae; Streptophyta; Magnoliopsida; Ranunculales; Papaveraceae
Exons: 4
Source: RefSeq, a predicted model, not a curated record
GAUCAUUGAUGUGUUUGAAUGUUCUCAGAGGAAUUCUAUUCUCGGGUGAUUUGAAUAGAGAUAAAAAGAACACGAAGAGAAGGAUAAAGAAUAAAAAUCUCCAAUCUUCUUCGUUGAAUUUCUUGCGGUACACCAACGAGAAUUCUCAACCAGGUUGAUGUUGGACUCUCUCGAAACUAUAGCAUUCGAGGUUGAUUUUACAGAUUUUGUAGUGCAGAUGAAACAAUGUAAUACAGAAGUCAUGGGAGAUAGUGGUAGCUGCACUUCAAAGCCUCUCAUAUUCUUUGAAUUGAUGAAGUUCAGGGCUGUUACUCAGUUUUUGCCGGUGUAAUCUUUACCCUGGGUACUGCUGCUAAUAAUCCUCCCUUCUAUGUUUUUCUUGGACAUUAUAGAGUUGGCAGUAGUUACCAGGGGAAGUUGAACCAAUGGAAAAAUUGUGUUUGGGAUAGAUGUGAUGGUGACUACAAAAUUUUAGGUUUCGUUAAGGCAGACUUGGAAGGUGAGGCUCAAGGCACUAUGUGAUUCUGGAAACUCCGGUGUUGGAUGUGACUGCCGCUAUAUGUGAGUUUCAUGUAUUACAUUGCUUCUUGGUUACUCAUGUUAGCUGAAUAACAAGUCCCAGAGCCUCCUGCUGAAAUGUUUGUCUACCAGGUUUGCCACUUUAGAUCUAUGUAUGGUAUGUUCUUAUGGGAAUUAAUUAUUAAGGAAAUUCUUUUUUGUGUAAUUGAUGUUAAUCGAUUAAGGAGGGUUUGUUUUUGUUGGAUUGGUUUUGGUUUGGUUGCUGGCUAUUGGUAACAAGUUUUCCUUUGGCAAACAACUUUGGAUUCUUCGUGUAAGAUUAAUCU